AUUGAACGCUGGCGGCAGGCCUAACACAUGCAAGUCGAGCGGAUGAAGGGAGCUUGCUCCUGGAUUCAGCGGCGGACGGGUGAGUAAUGCCUAGGAAUCUGCCUGGUAGUGGGGGAUAACGUCCGGAAACGGGCGCUAAUACCGCAUACGUCCUGAGGGUGAAAGUGGGGGAUCUUCGGACCUCACGCUCUCAGAUGAGCCUAGGUCGGAUUAGCUAGUUGGUGGGGUAAAGGCCUACCAAGGCGACGAUCCGUAACUGGUCUGAGAGGAGGAUCAGUCACACUGGAACUGAGACACGGUCCAGACUCCUACGGGAGGCAGCAGUGGGGAAUAUUGGACAAUGGGCGAAAGCCUGAUCCAGCCAUGCCGCGUGUGUGAAGAAGGUCUUCGGAUUGUAAAGCACUUUAAGUUGGGAGGAAGGGCAGUAAGUUAAUACCUUGCUGUUUUGACGUUACCAACAGAAUAAGCACCGGCUAACUUCGUG
Molecule: ribosomal RNA, 484 nt
Filed under: uncultured bacterium
Lineage: Bacteria
Description: partial 16S ribosomal RNA
Rfam family: Bacterial small subunit ribosomal RNA
Source: RNAcentral